GCCGCGGUGGCGAAACGGUAGACGCGUACGGCUUAGGACCGUAUGCCGAAAGGCUUGGGGGUUCAAGUCCCUCCCGCGGCA
RNAcentral lists this transfer RNA (81 nucleotides) under bacterium. RNAcentral describes it as "tRNA-Leu". It matches the Rfam family "tRNA". From Rfam's summary of the family: Transfer RNA (tRNA) molecules are approximately 80 nucleotides in length. Their secondary structure includes four short double-helical elements and three loops (D, anti-codon, and T loops). Further hydrogen bonds mediate the characteristic L-shaped molecular structure. tRNAs have two regions of fundamental functional importance: the anti-codon, which is responsible for specific mRNA codon recognition, and the 3' end, to which the tRNAs corresponding amino acid is attached (by aminoacyl-tRNA synthetases). tRNAs cope with the degeneracy of the genetic code in two manners: having more than one tRNA (with a specific anti-codon) for a particular amino acid; and 'wobble' base-pairing, i.e. permitting non-standard base-pairing at the 3rd anti-codon position. The record is from RNAcentral.